Molecule: long non-coding RNA, 415 nt
Organism: Monodelphis domestica (gray short-tailed opossum)
Lineage: Eukaryota; Metazoa; Chordata; Mammalia; Didelphimorphia; Didelphidae
Source: RefSeq, a predicted model, not a curated record
GGAAGAGGGAAUCAACAAAAAAUAUGGGAAGAGACUCAAUUGGGAUAUGUUCACAGAAGACACAAUGUGUAUCAAAAGAAAUAUACCUGAUUGGAAUGCAUGACUGGAACUAAGUGAUAAAGAAUCAAACUCAAGGUGACAAAUCUGGACUGGAAGAUGACUUUGAUCCACAAAAGUGGAAACACUGAGCUAAGAUAUUAAGUAACCCAAACAUCCUGGAGGACAGUAAUGGCAUAAUACCUGAAGAGCAGUUCAAAGUCUUUCAUCCAGUCUACAAGGAUCUGCCUAAUUGAUUGAAAAAGGUUCAUCACCAGAAGCAUAUCCAUUUGGGUGAAGGGGACAUAUUCCCAACUACUUAUGAUGACUAUGUUUACAGGAGUGAAGGAGUUGCAGCCCAUGUGAGUAGAAAGGUUCU